AGGCGAUGAUGAAGAAUGAAGUCAUGCACCACGCCGAUGAGAUUUAGAGUCUCAUGUGCUGACACCAGAUAUUCUACCCAUUGUUAUCUGAGCCU
Molecule: small nucleolar RNA, 95 nt
Organism: Zingiber officinale
Lineage: Eukaryota; Viridiplantae; Streptophyta; Magnoliopsida; Zingiberales; Zingiberaceae
Product: small nucleolar RNA Z221/R21b
Exons: 1
Source: RefSeq, a predicted model, not a curated record